UCAUCUCAAUCUCCCCUCUGGCAGGUUAAAGCCAUUCCCCCUUGACCUUGACUACAUGCCCUUCUAAAAAGUCCCUCUCCAGCUUCCCUGUAG
Long non-coding RNA from Strigops habroptila (Kakapo), 93 nucleotides. RefSeq lists it as uncharacterized. Lineage: Eukaryota; Metazoa; Chordata; Aves; Psittaciformes; Psittacidae. The record is from RefSeq and is a predicted model, not a curated record. The transcript is spliced from 4 exons.